CAUAUGUCUCCUCCAACUCCACUGGGUUCUCUUCUUCGAUUCCAAUCCCUUCUUGGAUUCUUAAACCAUAUUUUUUCUUAUGCUUCUUUGAUUAUUGCUCAUCAACCUAUUUCUAAUUGGAAUCCAAAAUUUAUACUUAAUUUGUCAAUAUCGUGAUGUUCACCGAAGGUGGGUGCUUAUCCUCUACACGAAAGAUGCUUUCAUGAUGGAAGCUUUGAAGAACUUCAGAAUCAACAACAAGGUAAUGUUGCUCGUAGAUAGAAAAAUGGUGAGUUCAAGGGAAACUUGGUGUCGAAUUGGAUUUAUGGAUAAACCAUGUGGAACUUGGAUUAAGUUUGGUGAUAUACGAUUCUGAUUUCAAGGUUAUGUCCACUUUAGAAUGUGUGUUGUGGUUCACGAGAAGCUUCAGAUUCCAAGGUUAUUUCCAAUUCAGAAUCAUACUAUUUUUAAACGUUUCUAUUUAAAAGUAUGAUUAUAGGAUGAUUGCAUUUGCUGGUCUGAUUUGCGAUGUAAAGAUGUCCAGUUGACCAUGGACGUUGGGACAAAAUCAAUUUCAUCUCUUUGUUAAGAGAAAGGUAUGCUUAGCCAACGAAAUUUACAAAAUGUCAGAGGAUCAGAAGUCAGCCAGUGGAAGAAAUCAGGUUUGCUCUUUGGCUUCUUAUUUAUACAUUGCUUGCCGGCAAGAGGACAAGACCAGAUACAUUAAGAGUACCAAACAAUUUUGGUUUAUUUGUAUAUAUGUAUGUUAGACUGUUAGUCACUGUUCUUCUUUUCUUUCUUAACUCAUGCCACUUUUACAAAAUAAUAAAUAGUCAAACAGUUGGCAGUUGGAGCUUGAAACCGGACAAUCUGUUGAAAUGGGAACCAUCCACGCCGGAGAUUUUAUGCGGCUCAAGAGUCUGUGCAGAAGUUAAAGGAGUUCAAUAUAAGACGAGUCACAUACCUAUUGCAGCAUAAGUUAUAAACAACACAGCUCUCUGAUUAGAAGAAGCCUCUUCGAGGUGUAUUGGUGGCAACUGGACUAGCAGAAGAAGAAACUCUUACAUAGAUCUCUACCCUCACUUUUCCAAGAUCUAACCAGCAGAUGGAAAAUUUUGAACCCUGGCCAGAAUGUCACCUUGGCCAAAAUGUCUAAUAUAGCUUUUGCCAGUGCCUUUUGAAAAUCUCUACUGUGUUGCAUUGGGGAUGAACAAUUGUUACCUUAACUAUGAAUCUAUGAGAUUGGGGGGUAUUUCCAACAGCAGGUGAGGGAUUUAGUAUUCCUAAACUUCUCCCCACAAGGAGUGGCACUUUCAUUUGUUUAGAGUCUUUCUAUGCCAGAUAUAUCAGUGGCAACUUGAGUUGCCGAAGAAAUUAUAGUAAACUCUUACGAAGAUCUCUACUCUCACCCUCGAAGUAGUCCUAUGCAAUUAUAUCUGGUUUCCAAGAGUUUAUUUCUUUAGAAUUGUAUUAAGUAAUCGCACUUCUACAUAUGCUGUGAAAAAUAUUACAAAUUGUUUAGAUUGAGAUUAUAAUAUUUUAUUAAAUU
RNA transcript from Brassica oleracea var. oleracea, 1528 nucleotides. RefSeq lists it as uncharacterized. The record is from RefSeq and is a predicted model, not a curated record. Lineage: Eukaryota; Viridiplantae; Streptophyta; Magnoliopsida; Brassicales; Brassicaceae. The transcript is spliced from 5 exons.